AUUCCAGCUCCAAUAGCGUAUAUUAAAGUUGUUGCAGUUAAAAAGCUCGUAGUUGGAUUUCGGAAUGGGUCAGUUGGUCCGCCGCAAGGUGAGUUACUGACUGAUUUGUUCUUCUUCGCAAAGACUGCGUGUGCUCUUUACUGAGUGUACGUAGGAUUUACGACGUUUACUUUGAAAAAAUUAGAGUGUUCAAAGCAGGCUAUCGCUUGAAUACAUGAGCAUGGAAUAAUGGAAUAGGACUUUGGUUCUAUUUUGUUGGUUUCUAGGACCGAAGUAAUGAUUAAGAGGGACAAUUGGGGGCAUCCGUAUUUCGUUGUCAGAGGUGAAAUUCUUGGAUUUACGAAAGACGAACAACUGCGAAAGCACUUGCCAAGAGUGUUUUCAUCA
RNAcentral lists this ribosomal RNA (387 nucleotides) under Lizzia sp. RNAcentral describes it as "partial small subunit ribosomal RNA". It matches the Rfam family "Eukaryotic small subunit ribosomal RNA", at positions 582 to 975 of the family's 1831-position model. The record is from RNAcentral. Lineage: Eukaryota; Metazoa; Cnidaria; Hydrozoa; Anthoathecata; Bougainvilliidae.